GUACUAUGUUGGCUGCAUAGUUCAGCAGAUUGAAUCUUGAAGGAAUCUACCAGCUGUCUGAUGUU
RNAcentral lists this small nucleolar RNA (65 nucleotides) under Tupaia belangeri (northern tree shrew). Its description in RNAcentral is "Small nucleolar RNA SNORD77 (ENSTBEG00000019016.1)". It matches the Rfam family "Small nucleolar RNA SNORD77". Rfam says of the family: U77 belongs to the C/D family of snoRNAs. It is predicted to guide 2'O-ribose methylation of large 28S rRNA subunit at position A1521. Lineage: Eukaryota; Metazoa; Chordata; Mammalia; Scandentia; Tupaiidae. The record is from RNAcentral.